UUGGAGGGCAAGUCUGGUGCCAGCAGCCGCGGUAAUUCCAGCUCCAAUAGCGUAUGUUAAGGUUGCUGCAGUUAAAAAGCUCGUAGUUGAAUUUCGGGAUCAGAUUGUCGGUCGUGCCUCGGUACGCACUGGCAUUAUUGGUUCCUACCUUCUGAAGAACCGCGAUGUCAUUAAUUUGGUGUCAUGGGGAAUCAGGACUGUUACUUUGAAAAAAUUAGAGUGUUUAAAGCAGGC
RNAcentral lists this ribosomal RNA (234 nucleotides) under uncultured Glomus. RNAcentral's name for it is "partial 18S rRNA". It matches the Rfam family "Eukaryotic small subunit ribosomal RNA", at positions 548 to 785 of the family's 1831-position model. Lineage: Eukaryota; Fungi; Glomeromycota; Glomeromycetes; Glomerales; Glomeraceae. The record is from RNAcentral.